This 429-nucleotide ribosomal RNA is filed under the name Bacteroidota bacterium. RNAcentral's name for it is "Bacteroidetes bacterium partial 16S ribosomal RNA". It matches the Rfam family "Bacterial small subunit ribosomal RNA", at positions 355 to 776 of the family's 1533-position model. The record is from RNAcentral. Lineage: Bacteria; Pseudomonadati; Bacteroidota.
UAGGGAAUCUUCCGCAAUGGACGCAAGUCUGACGGAGCAACGCCGCGUGAGUGAAGAAGGACUUCGGUUCGUAAAACUCUGUUGUUAGAGAAGAACAGCGCAUAGAGUAACUGUUAUGCGUGUGACGGUAUCUAACCAGAAAGCCACGGCUAACUACGUGCCAGCAGCCGCGGUAAUACGUAGGUGGCAAGCGUUGUCCGGAUUUAUUGGGCGUAAAGCGAGCGCAGGCGGUCAAUUAAGUCUGAUGUGAAAGCCCCCGGCUCAACCGGGGAGGGUCAUUGGAAACUGGUUGACUUGAGUGCAGAAGAGGAGGGUGGAAUUCCAUGUGUAGCGGUGAAAUGCGUAGAUAUAUGGAGGAACACCAGUGGCGAAGGCGACUCUCUGGUCUGUAACUGACGCUGAGGUUCGAAAGCGUGGGUAGCAAACAGG